This 551-nucleotide ribosomal RNA is filed under the name Alternaria alternata. RNAcentral describes it as "eukaryotic LSU rRNA". The stretch from base 197 to 350 matches the Rfam family "5.8S ribosomal RNA". Lineage: Eukaryota; Fungi; Ascomycota; Dothideomycetes; Pleosporales; Pleosporaceae. The record is from RNAcentral.
GUCUCCGUAGGUGACCUGCGGAGGGACAUUACACAAAUAUGAAGGCGGGCUGGAACCUCUCGGGGUUACAGCCUUGCUGAAUUAUUCACCCUUGUCUUUUGCGUACUUCUUGUUUCCUUGGUGGGUUCGCCCACCACUAGGACAAACAUAAACCUUUUGUAAUUGCAAUCAGCGUCAGUAACAAAUUAAUAAUUACAACUUUCAACAACGGAUCUCUUGGUUCUGGCAUCGAUGAAGAACGCAGCGAAAUGCGAUAAGUAGUGUGAAUUGCAGAAUUCAGUGAAUCAUCGAAUCUUUGAACGCACAUUGCGCCCUUUGGUAUUCCAAAGGGCAUGCCUGUUCGAGCGUCAUUUGUACCCUCAAGCUUUGCUUGGUGUUGGGCGUCUUGUCUCUAGCUUUGCUGGAGACUCGCCUUAAAGUAAUUGGCAGCCGGCCUACUGGUUUCGGAGCGCAGCACAAGUCGCACUCUCUAUCAGCAAAGGUCUAGCAUCCAUUAAGCCUUUUUUUCAACUUUUGACCUCGGAUCAGGUAGGGAUACCCGCUGAACUUAA